RNAcentral lists this unclassified non-coding RNA (4810 nucleotides) under Hevea brasiliensis (rubber tree). Lineage: Eukaryota; Viridiplantae; Streptophyta; Magnoliopsida; Malpighiales; Euphorbiaceae. The record is from RNAcentral.
UAACAAAAAAAAUCGGCUCAAGAAAACAGCAGCCUACUCUAUCCAUCUCAAAUACAAUGCCCAAGUCCAUAGAAAACUCUAGAUAGCAGAGGCAGAUGGUGCAUAGCUCUCCGGUCUUCCACCGUCAUCGCAACCUCCACCUCUCUUCAUGGAAGAUAAGCACCGAGAAUAAAAGGCAGAAUUUUCUUAGGAGAGAACAUAGCAAGCACAAGCCUGAUAUAGGUAAAAGAAGAAAGACCUCAACUUUGGUACAUGAAACUCACAAGGGUAAGCUGCUGGAACACUUUAGAAAAAAUCAUUGAGGUAUUGAGACAGCACUGAAAUAGUAGAGGAUGGCAAUGCUGGGACUAUUAGGCUGUUGGAGAAUGAUUCAAAGCCAGUUACCGAAAUAUUAGUUUUUUUUAUUGAGUUGGAUGUUGUUAAUUCUGUUCCUUUAUUUUCUACCUUAUGCUAAUAUUUUGCUGCACUUCUUUGCUAAUUUGUUAUUGUGUAAAACCUAUUUAUAGGCCUGUUGUUUACUUCAUUUUAGCAAGUAAAUAAAAUAGCAACUUUAGUCAAUUAUAUCUCGUAUUUUUACUAUAAUUCUUCUAUUUUUCUAUUGAUUUUUUUAAUUCCUAAAUUAGCUCAAGCCUAUUGUAGAUUUUUUUUUUGUCACCAUCUAUUUGAUAAAAGUCCUGUGUGGCAGCUUCUUGUGUUUACUGUAGAUUUCCAACAUUUGUGGUAUCAGAUCUUGGUUCGUUUGUAAUUGGGCGAAAGAUUCAUGGCAACUAACGGCAAUGUUGUGAGCAUUUCUCAGCCAGCAAUUCCAGUUUUCAAAGGUGAAAGCUAUGAGUUUUGGAGUAUGAAGAUGAAGACAUUAUUCAAGUCUCAAGAUCUGUGGGACUUGGUUGAGAAUGGAUUUGCUGAUUCAGAUGAAGAGGCUAGGCUAAGAGAGAACAAGAAGAAAGACUUGAAAGCAUUAUUCUUCAUUCAGCAAGCAGUACAUGAGUCAAUUUUCUCAAAAAUUGCAGCACAACUACAGCCAAAGAGGCUUGGACUACUUUGCAGACAGUGUUCCAAGGCUCCUCGAAGGUAAUCACGGUGAAACUUCAAACUCUUUGCCGAGAUUUUAAAACCUUGCUUAUGAAAAGUGGAGAAUCAGUGCAAGAGUUUUUGUCUAAAGUAGCUACAAUUGUUAAUCAAAUGAGGUCCUCUGCAGAAAAGAUUUCUGAUCAAACCAUAGUUGCAAAAGUGUUACAGAGUUUGACUCCAAAGUUUGAUCAUGUAGUAGCAGCUAUAGAAGAAUCCAAAGACUUGGCUACCUACUCAUUUGAUGUAUUGAUGGGGUAACUGCAAUCCCAUGAGGCAAGACUGAACAAGUUAGAUGAGAAGAAUGAAGAAAAGGCUUUUCAUGUGAAGGGGGAGGCAUUACACCAGAAAAAUGAGCAAAGAGAAGCAAGCAGUAGAGGACGUGGCAGAUGGAUUUCGUGGAAGAGGUAGUCACAAUGGAGGAUGAUGAUGAGGUGAUGAGCACCAAAAUCAAAAACAGCAGCAGGGAGGCAAUAAAAGGGGUGUUCAAUGCUACUAUUGUAAGCAGUUUGGCAUUAUAAAAGCUGACUACUGGAAAAGAAAAAAACAAGAACAAGCAAGUUAUGCAGAACAAGAAGAGGAGGAGCUCAAGCUUUUCAUGGCUCAUCAAGAAGAAAUUAUUGACAGCAGCAUUGGUUCCUGGACAGCGAAUGCUCUAAUCACAUGACUAGUGUACGAUCACUAUUCAAGGAGCUUGAUGACACGUUCAAACAAAAAGUAACACUUGGAGACAGCAAGUAGAUUCAAGUGGAAGGCAAAGGUAUUGCGGCAAUAAAAAACAGUUAUGGUAAUGUAAAGCUUCUCUAUGAUGUCUAUUACAUUCCUAGUUUGUCACAGAAUUUAUUGAGUGUUGGGCAACUCAUGGCUAUUGGAUAUUCUAUUGUGUUUGAUGAUGUGUCUUGUGUGAUUAGAGAUAAAAAAAAUCAGAUCAAAUUAUAGUUGAUGUUCGCAUGACACCAAACAAAUUAUUCCCACUUGAAAUUUUUAGUGUUGAAAACCAUGCACUUGUUGUGAAAGAAGCUAGUGAGUCAAGAUUAUGGCAUUUACGGUAUGGGCAUUUGAAUGUGAAAGGUCUAAAAUUGUUGAGUCAAAAGGAAAUGGUUUUUGGGUUGCCUAAAAUUGAGUCUUUGGAUGUAUGUGAAGGGUGUGUAUAAGGAAAACAAUGUAAGAAACCAUUUCCUGUAAGGAAGUCUAGAAGGGCAUCUAGUUGUCUUGAGCUUGGGCAUGCUGACUUGGUUGGUCCCAUGAAAACACAAUCGUUUAGUGGGAGUAGAUAUUUUUUGUUAUUUACAGAUGACUAUAGCCGGAUGAGCUGGGUGUAUUUUUUGCAAUCCAAGUCAGAAACAUUUGAGAACUUUAAAAAGUUCAAGACACUUAUGGAAAAGCAAACUGGAAGUUGCAUCAAGGCACUGCGCACAGAUAGAGGUGGUGAGUUUGUAUCACAAGAAUUUAAUCAAUUUGCGAAGAACAAGGCUUGCAAAGAGAGCUGACUGCUCCAUACACUCCAGAGCAGAAUGGUGUCGCUGAACGUAAGAAUCGAACAGUUGUUGAGAUGGCGAGAAGUUUGUUGAAAGCUAAAGGACUUCCAAAUCAGUUUUGGGCAGAAGCAGUAGCAACGGCAGUACACUUGCUUAAUUUAUCACCAAUAAAGCCUGUUUUGAAUCAAACACCAUACAAGGCUUGGUGUAGGAGGAAACCGUGGGUAAGCCAUUUAAAGGUUUUUGGCUACAUUGCCUAUGCUUUAAUUGAUUCACAUAAUUGCAGUAAACUUGAUGAUAAAUCAACAAAAUGCAUUUUUAUUAGUUAUUGUUCUCAAUCUAAAGCAUAUAGGUUGUAUAAUCCCAUUAGUGGCAAAGUUAUUAUCAGCAGGAAUGUUAUUUUUAAUGAGGAAGCAAGCUGGAUUUGGGAAGAAAAUUCAAAUGGUGUUCAGUUUGAAGUCUCAAAUGAAGCUCCACAGACUGAAGUCCAACAGCCUCCUUCCCCAAAUUCGUCAAGUUCAUCUCCUCCAACUUCACCAAACUUGUCAUCUUCAAACAGCAGAAGUUCAUCUGAAGAUGACACUUCGCCAAGAAAAUUUAGAUCAUUGGCUGAAAUUUAUGAGUCUACAUAGGCCUUGUUUGUUGCUGAUCCAACAACUUAUGAAGAAGCAGUAGAAAAAGAAGAGUGGCGCAAUGCAAUGAAGAAGGAACUUGUAGCAAUUCAACGAAAUGAGAUGUGGGUGCUUGUAGAUCUUCCCAAAGACAGGAAAGUAAUUGGAGUCAAAUGGGUCUUUCAAACAAAGUUUCAAGCAUAUUGCAGUAUUCAAAAGCACAAAGCGCGAUUGGUAGUGAAAGAACUAGGAGUGGAUUAUGAUGAUAUUUUCUCUUUAGUUGCAUGGUUUGAGAUAGUCAGAAUCAUCUUGGCAUUGGCUGCAUAUUUGAAAAGGACCGUGUAUCAGUUUGAUAUUAAAUCAACAUUUCUAAAUGGCGAAUUACAGGAAGAGGUUUACAUUGCUUAGCCUAAAGUAUUCAUAGUUAAAGGCAAAGAGGAGAAAGUGUAUAAGCUGCGAAAAGCUCUCUAUGGACUGAAGCAGGCACCCCGUGCAUGGUACAACAAAAUUGAUACUUACUUUCUCUAAAAUGGCUUUGAAAGAAGUAAGAAUGAGCCCAAUCUUUAUGUUAAGAAGCAAGGUACAAAUGAUUUUCUCAUUGUUGGCCUCUGUGGAUGAUAUGAUUUAUAUGGAAUCUUCUUCUCCUCUUAUUAAUGAAUUCAAAGCUUCUAUGGAAAAGAAAUUCAAAAUGAUAGAUUUUCGAGAGUUGCAGUACUAUCUUGGGCUUGAGGUGAAGCAACUUAAAGAUGGCAUCUUUGUGUCACAAAAGAAAUAUGCUGCUGAUUUGCUUAAAAGGUUUAAUAUGUUGGGUUGUAAAAUUGCAAUCACACCAAUGAAUUUAAAUGAAAAAUUGCAAGUUGAUGAUGGUACUGAACCAGCGGAUGCAAGGAGUUUUAGAAGUCUGGUUGGAGGCUUAAUCUACUUGACUAAUACGCGGCCUGAUAUUUCUUUUACUAUUGGAGUUAUUUCCAGGUUCAUGCAUUGUCCAUCAAAGCAUCAUUUUGGAGCUGCAAAAAGGGUUCUACGUUAUAUUGUUGGAACAGUUGAUUUUGGGAUAUGGUAUGGUCAUGUUUCAGAGUUCAAAUUAUUUGGCUAUACUAAUAGUGAUUGAGCUAGGUGUUUGGAGGAUAGAAAAAGCACAUAUGGUUAUGUUUUUAGUCUUGGAUCAGCCGCUGUAUGCUGGAGUUCAAAGAAGCAAACAACAACAACCUUGUCUUCAUCUGAAGCAGAAUAUAUAGCUGCAAGUUCAUCAGCAUGUCAAGCCUUAUGGUUAAGAAGAAUUCUAGCUGAUGUCAAUCAAGAACAGCAGGAAGCAACUGAAAUUUACUGUGAUAAUCAAGCCGUAAUUUGUAUGUCUAAAAAUCUAGCUUUUCAUGGAAGAACUAAGCAUAUAGAUAUUCGAGUUCAUUUCAUUCGAGAUCUUGUGUCAGAUGAAUCAAUCAUUUUGAAGUACUACAACAUAAAUGAGUAAGUAGCAGAUAUUUUGAUAAAGUCCCUUCCUCAAGAUAAACAUGUUUAUUUUAGGCUCCAACUUGGUGUUUGUAACUUUGAAUAAAGGGGGAGUGUUGGAGAAUGAUUCAAAGUCAGUUAUCGAAAUAUUAGUUUUUUUAUUGAGUUAGAUGUAGUUAUUUGUAACACCCCUAAUUUUUAAAU